CAGCCGCCGCGGUAAUACGUAGGGCGCGAGCGUUGUCCGGAAUUAUUGGGCGUAAAGAGCUUGUAGGCGGUUUGUCGCGUCUGCUGUGAAAGGCCAGGGCUUAACCCUGGUAUUGCAGUGGGUACGGGCAGACUAGAGUGCAGUAGGGGAGGCUGGAAUUCCUGGUGUAGCGGUGAAAUGCGCAGAUAUCAGGAGGAACACCGAUGGCGAAGGCAGGUCUCUGGGCUGUAACUGACGCUGAGAAGCGAAAGCAUGGGGAGCGAACAGGAUUAGAUACCCCGGUAGUCCCUGUCUCUUAUAC
RNAcentral lists this ribosomal RNA (301 nucleotides) under uncultured bacterium. Its description in RNAcentral is "partial 16S ribosomal RNA". It matches the Rfam family "Bacterial small subunit ribosomal RNA", at positions 509 to 807 of the family's 1533-position model. The record is from RNAcentral.